RNAcentral lists this ribosomal RNA (440 nucleotides) under uncultured bacterium. RNAcentral's name for it is "partial 16S ribosomal RNA". It matches the Rfam family "Bacterial small subunit ribosomal RNA", at positions 338 to 795 of the family's 1533-position model. The record is from RNAcentral.
CCUACGGGUGGCAGCAGUGGGGAAUAUUGCUCAAUGGGGGAAACCCUGAAGCAGCAAUGCCGCGUGUAGGAUGAAGGUUUUCGGGUUGUAAACUCCUUUUGUUAGGGAGGAUAAUGACGGUAUCUAUCAACUAAGCACCGGCUAACUCCGGGCCAGCAGCCGCGGUAAUACGGAGGGUGCAAGCGUUACUCGGAAUUACUGGGCGUAAAGAGCGCGGAGGCGGGUGAGCAAGUCAGAUGUGAAAUCCCAGGGCUCAACCAUAGAACUGCAUUUGAUACUGUCAUUCUAGAGUAUGGGAGAGGUAGGUAGAAUUCCUGGUGUAGGGGUAAAAUCCGUAGAGAUCAAGAGGAAUACUCAUGGCGAAGGCGACCUGCUAGACCAUGACUGACGCUGAUGCGCGAAAGCGUGGGGAGCAAACAGGAUUAGAUACCCGGGUAGUC